RNAcentral lists this ribosomal RNA (1343 nucleotides) under Pediococcus pentosaceus. RNAcentral describes it as "bacterial SSU rRNA". It matches the Rfam family "Bacterial small subunit ribosomal RNA", at positions 75 to 1407 of the family's 1533-position model. The record is from RNAcentral. Lineage: Bacteria; Bacillati; Bacillota; Bacilli; Lactobacillales; Lactobacillaceae.
AGAUUUUAACACGAAGUGAGUGGCGAACGGGUGAGUAACACGUGGGUAACCUGCCCAGAAGUAGGGGAUAACACCUGGAAACAGAUGCUAAUACCGUAUAACAGAGAAAACCGCAUGGUUUUCUUUUAAAAGAUGGCUCUGCUAUCACUUCUGGAUGGACCCGCGGCGUAUUAGCUAGUUGGUGAGGUAAAGGCUCACCAAGGCAGUGAUACGUAGCCGACCUGAGAGGGUAAUCGGCCACAUUGGGACUGAGACACGGCCCAGACUCCUACGGGAGGCAGCAGUAGGGAAUCUUCCACAAUGGACGCAAGUCUGAUGGAGCAACGCCGCGUGAGUGAAGAAGGGUUUCGGCUCGUAAAGCUCUGUUGUUAAAGAAGAACGUGGGUAAGAGUAACUGUUUACCCAGUGACGGUAUUUAACCAGAAAGCCACGGCUAACUACGUGCCAGCAGCCGCGGUAAUACGUAGGUGGCAAGCGUUAUCCGGAUUUAUUGGGCGUAAAGCGAGCGCAGGCGGUCUUUUAAGUCUAAUGUGAAAGCCUUCGGCUCAACCGAAGAAGUGCAUUGGAAACUGGGAGACUUGAGUGCAGAAGAGGACAGUGGAACUCCAUGUGUAGCGGUGAAAUGCGUAGAUAUAUGGAAGAACACCAGUGGCGAAGGCGGCUGUCUGGUCUGCAACUGACGCUGAGGCUCGAAAGCAUGGGUAGCGAACAGGAUUAGAUACCCUGGUAGUCCAUGCCGUAAACGAUGAUUACUAAGUGUUGGAGGGUUUCCGCCCUUCAGUGCUGCAGCUAACGCAUUAAGUAAUCCGCCUGGGGAGUACGACCGCAAGGUUGAAACUCAAAAGAAUUGACGGGGGCCCGCACAAGCGGUGGAGCAUGUGGUUUAAUUCGAAGCUACGCGAAGAACCUUACCAGGUCUUGACAUCUUCUGACAGUCUAAGAGAUUAGAGGUUCCCUUCGGGGACAGAAUGACAGGUGGUGCAUGGUUGUCGUCAGCUCGUGUCGUGAGAUGUUGGGUUAAGUCCCGCAACGAGCGCAACCCUUAUUACUAGUUGCCAGCAUUAAGUUGGGCACUCUAGUGAGACUGCCGGUGACAAACCGGAGGAAGGUGGGGACGACGUCAAAUCAUCAUGCCCCUUAUGACCUGGGCUACACACGUGCUACAAUGGAUGGUACAACGAGUCGCGAAACCGCGAGGUUAAGCUAAUCUCUUAAAACCAUUCUCAGUUCGGACUGUAGGCUGCAACUCGCCUACACGAAGUCGGAAUCGCUAGUAAUCGCGGAUCAGCAUGCCGCGGUGAAUACGUUCCCGGGCCUUGUACACACCGCCCGUCACACCAUGA